This 253-nucleotide ribosomal RNA is filed under the name uncultured bacterium. RNAcentral's name for it is "partial 16S ribosomal RNA". It matches the Rfam family "Bacterial small subunit ribosomal RNA", at positions 524 to 776 of the family's 1533-position model. The record is from RNAcentral.
UACGUAGGGUGCAAGCGUUAAUCGGAAUUACUGGGCGUAAAGCGUGCGCAGGCGGUUAUGCAAGACAGGUGUGAAAUCCCCGAGCUCAACUUGGGAACUGCACUUGUGACUGCAUAGCUAGAGUACGGUAGAGGGGAGUGGAAUUCCGCGUGUAGCAGUGAAAUGCGUAGAUAUGCGGAGGAACACCGAUGGCGAAGGCAAUCCCCUGGACCUGUACUGGCGCUCAUGCACGAAAGCGUGGGGAGCAAACAGG